Molecule: ribosomal RNA, 422 nt
Filed under: uncultured bacterium
Lineage: Bacteria
Description: partial 16S ribosomal RNA
Rfam family: Bacterial small subunit ribosomal RNA
Source: RNAcentral
AAUAUGGGACAUUGGGGGCAACCCUGAUCCAACCAUGCAGCGAGAGUGAAGAAGGUAUUCUGUUUGUAAAGCACAUUUAGGUGGGAGGAAGGGAUUUAGGCUAAUACCCUGAAGUUUUGAUGUUACCAACAGUGUAUGCACCGGCUAACUCAGUGCCAGCAGCAGCGGUAAUACAGAGGGUGCAAGCGUUAAUCGGAAUUAAUGGGCGGAAAGCACGCGUUGUUGGUUCAGUAAGAUGGGUGUGAAAUCCCCGGGAUUAGCCUGGGAUCUGCUUUCAUAACUGCUGAGCUAGAGUACGGUAGAUGGUAGUGGAAUAUCCUGUGUAGCGGUGAAAUGCGUAGAUAUAGGAAGGAACACCAGUGGCGAAGGCGACUACCUGGACUGAUACUAACACUGAGGUGCGAAAGCGUGGGGAGCAAACA